Molecule: non-coding RNA, 811 nt
Organism: Bemisia tabaci
Lineage: Eukaryota; Metazoa; Arthropoda; Insecta; Hemiptera; Aleyrodidae
Source: RefSeq, a predicted model, not a curated record
AAGAACUAAGUACUCGGUUUUGAAAAGAAUAUACUUGACUGCAAUUCACUGAAACACUUGACUACAGUUCCGGAGAACAAUUUUUCUUCAAGAGUAUCUUGAUUCACAGUUUGUUGUAAUCGACUUCAGGUCCUUGGGAAACUCAAACCAAGGUGGCAGAAUCGGCUUCGCUUCAAACCGCCGGUACAUUUGUUCACGUGAAGUUUUUGAGGCAAUAGUACUAUACGGUAAGUGCGUUCCUAAAAGUAUGAUAUCGUGCAGCACGUUAGUUAUAUCCAGGCACGGACGAGGAUACGUUUCUUACUCCAAAAAUGCAGCAUUCUAACCUCAGCACCCAAGCUCGGAUGUUAAAAUUGGUGCAGUGCGGCUACUUUAGUGUUUCAACCGACUUCAUUCUCGUUUCCUUCGUUCGCACAACAUGAGAAAUAUUCGAUCCACCUUCUUGGGGCACAUCCACAGAAACAUCUUAGAACGUAUGCGAGGCGGAGAAAUACGUCUGAAAAACGUGUCAAGAAGGAUCUGCGCUACGAAUUAACAUGAAUUCUAAGCACAUUCGUGAUCUACCCUGUAGAUCCGGGCUUUUGUAGAAUAUCUAAGUAUCAGAAGCUCGUCUCUACAGGUAUCUUACGGAUGGGAGACGAAUCAUCUAAUUUUCACCAGAUCGUUCCGUCAUGACCAGUCUCCUCUGCUUAUCACGUCACCUCUCUCGUCAUGCUGUCACCUUGGCUGUGAGAAAGCGAAGAAAACAUCGGAGGGAUUUUUCUCUGGGUUCUGAUUAAACCUGUGAAUUUCAUUCUAAAUUGCAUCGUCA